Molecule: long non-coding RNA, 2120 nt
Organism: Polistes canadensis
Lineage: Eukaryota; Metazoa; Arthropoda; Insecta; Hymenoptera; Vespidae
Exons: 3
Source: RefSeq, a predicted model, not a curated record
GGUUAACGUCAGGGGCGUGAGCGAAGAAGGGGCGUCCCAGGAAGAGGGACAGGGAAACGUUGGUAGUCAGUGAAAAAGAGAAAGAUAGUUCCUCUUAGCCUGGUCUACACGCCACCUCCGGCGGUACGUUCAGCUCCACGCGACUUCACGAGUGAAACAUUUCGCGGGUUUCGCGGGGAGCUUUUCCGCAAGACUCGCCGGUAGUGGGAGGUUCAAGGUGGUAGAGGAGUGAAGGAAGGACAACGGUAUUCCCGUUAAUUGAACGACUCUCUCGCGUGGGGAAGGAGGUACCUGGGAGGGAGACGCGACACUCUCUACUCCGGAUCGAGAAGAGGGAGAAGGAUUACUUGCAGUAAUUACUUAUUUUUAUUACGCUCCGCCUUCCUGUCCUCUUUUCCUCUCCUUCAUACUCGAUACUCACUCUACUCCCUUCCCCAAUCUUCGUCCUCAUCGUCGUCGUCGUCGUACGUUCAACGUCGCCAACGGUUAGUCACUUAUCGCCGAGGAGCGUUAUUGUGCUUUCCCUUUUUUUUUCCUUUCCCUUCUCCCUUUUUCUUUCUUUCUUUCACCCCUUUUUUUUUUUUUACCUAUUUCUUCCUUUUUUCAUGUUCUUCCACUCGUGCGCGCUAGGUUGUCCGCUUUUGAGCAGUUCGAAUACGCUCUCCUUUCCCGCCCGUUUCUCGAGCAUGGUUCUUCGUUCAUUCUUUUCAUUUGCGAUCGGAGCAAUUCGAUUUAAGGAUAACUGUGAAAUUAAAGAAACAUUUUAUCAACUCCCUUUGUUUUUCUUUUUUUCUUUUUUUAGUGCUAAUUAAUUAACUUCCGAUUUUGAAAGGAUCAAUCGAAAUGCUGUACUCUGAUACUGUGAACGAUUUCGAAUAAAGGCCAUUUAUCGUCCUGACGAACUUUUAACAACGAUGCUCUAGUUUUGUUAAUCAAUUGGAAGAAAGUUACCUCGUAUGUUAGAUAAAGAAAUGACCUAACCACCAGUUCGACCAGUUACCGCGGUUCAACUUUGCUGUUUUUCUUAACCAGUAGAUGCGACUUUAGAUAAGAGUUUUGACAAGUGCGCCUGCGACCGUCUAUGGGGUGCCGACUGAACGACGAGCCAUGCCUUCAGGAACUCAGGGAGAGGCACGUACGAGCGAGUGGACAUGACAUCCGCCUACGCUAGGCUACCACCAUCUAAGGUGCGUUUAUUUUGGCGACCUUUACGACACGAGUUUACGAUCGGCUGAACGGAUUCUGUUGAACUUCGUAAUGAUUUUCGGAAGUUUGCGGAAAAAACAUCGGGGACGAGAAAAAAAGAUUUUUGGACCGUUCAACUCUAUCGGGGAGAGGGUUGCUUUCAGCCAAGGAGAAACAAUAAAAUUCGUUAAAUUAUUAGCCGUUAUAUUGGACGGGACUAGACAGGAGAAGUAAGAAAGUGACUCUUUUGAAAAAAAUGAAAUAGUAUUAAAAUAAGAAAGAAAGAAAAAGGGGGAACAACAAUAACAACAACAACGUUCGAUGAACGUAGAGAGAAAUGACCGAAUGGUGGAACGGACAGAGAGGGGGGGGUUGGUUGAAGAGGGACGCGAAAAGAACGACGCGUAUCCGUAUAGCUCAUGGAGAAAGGAACGAAAAGUUAAGAAAAGGCAAAGGUUCAACAGGGAUAAGUCCAACAGGAAUAUUGAAAGCCGGUCCUUCGAACGAGGCCAGCGAUCAAGAGAGCCAAUUAUCUCAAAGACCCACCACCACUACUCCUCGUUCCAACCCCUCACCUACCUGCUUUCUCUCUCUCUCUCUCUCUCUAUUUCUCUUUUCUUCUUUGCCCCCACAUACGCGUACUCACGUCGAACAUAUUUUUCCUACGUACCUUAUGCGAAUAUUCAAAGUACACUCAAGCUACCGAAGUACUAACAUACUCGAAUAGUAUAUUCGAACGCGCGUUCGUUCGUUCGUUCCAUUUCGUUUCGUUUCGUUUCGUUUCGUUUCGUUUCGUUCGUUUAUUCGAAGAGCACCGUAUACAUAAUGCCUACAUACGUAGAUAGAUACGUGGAGGUACAUUAUGCGAAUCGAGCAUCAUAGAUCGUUGCCGUUCUAAUAAAGCUAAGGGUACUUUCUCGCGAUCACCCGCAAAC